Pararge aegeria (speckled wood butterfly) is the source of this 5242-nucleotide RNA transcript. It is a transcript of the gene named F-actin-uncapping protein LRRC16A, with no coding region annotated. The record is from RefSeq and is a predicted model, not a curated record. The transcript has 28 exons. NCBI's taxonomy places the organism in Eukaryota, Metazoa, Arthropoda, Insecta, Lepidoptera, Nymphalidae.
GUGUAUUAGUUUAAAAAAAUUGCACAUAGAUUUGUGUUGUGGAUUUUUUAGUCGAUACAAUAAAUAAUUCUUCAAUAAAAUAAAGUGAAAUGUGUUUGAUUUUUGAUAUCAAUAUGGCAAAAUAAUUGUAUCCUUAUAGAGUAUUCUCCGUUUUAUUUAGCUCACUGAGCAUGGAUGUAUUAAUCCGAAAAAUAAAAUAUUUUUCGUAGUGAUGACAUUAAAGAAAAUCGUGAAAAUGUCAACAAAAUCCCAGUUAUCCUCAGAAUUAAACGAGAGCAUCAGCAAUGUUCUAGGGAAAAAUGUUAGAAUUCUUUACAAAUCACUUAUUCGUAUGGAAUCCAGAGGAGAUAAAGUUGAUAAUCGAGUUUUGGUUGUGACAUCAUUUAGAGUUUUUAUCACUACAACAAAAGUGCCAACAAGGAUCGACAAUGGAUUUCACUUGAUGGAGAUAGAGGCUCUUGAGAGCAAAAAAGCGAAUCAUUUGUCAAUAACGCUAAUCCACGAGCACAAGCCUGUGUCUAUACUAAUAGGCGAGGAGGGGUCACUGGAAGGCGUUAUAAAUGCCAUUCACGCGCUGAUUGCCGCGUUUGAUGACUUAUUUCCUAACGUAGCUAUGGAGGACAUUGUGUCCAAGGUCCAUUUACCAUUCCAACUCCAGUCAGUUAGCGGUACGAGAAAACAUUCCACUUGUGGCGACUUUUCCAAUCAAUACGCUGCCAUGUGUGAUCUUUAUCAAACACCUUUCAGAGCUGAAGUCGCAUGGGAUAUUGAUACAAUUUAUUUGGCGCACGACAUUAGGAUGCUGCAUUUAAAAGACUUUGACCACUUGGACCAAAGGGAUCUAAUCCCACUGGUGAUGGCCUUGCAACACAACACAUGGUUCAACGGCGUCUGUGGUGACGGCGUACGUGUCGGUGGCGAAGCUUGGGAGGCCGUUGCGCGACUGUUGCGCUCCGCCGCACCGCCGCCGAGGCAACUUAGUUGGCGAGCCGCAACAUUGAGACACGAUCACGCAGCUAAAUUAGGACAUGCGUUAGUGCGAGCGAGACAUCCACCAGCGAUGCACACGAUAGAUUUGUCGCAGAACCACAUCGAAGACAAAGGUGCCAUGAGCAUACUAACCGGGCUGGGAAACAAUCCGGAUGGUUUGCGACACAUCGCGUUAUCCCAGUGCGGGCUGACGGGCAAGACUGUCUCGCACCUCGCUGUGAUGCUUAACGAUAGUCCUUGCCACCUCUCCACACUGUCGCAUUUAGAUCUGUCACACAAUAACCUUAAGGACGACGUUCAUAAUCUAUACAAUUUCCUUGCGCAGCCGAACGUUUUGACACAUUUGAACUUGAUCAACACAGAGACAACUUUAGAAAACAUGUGGGGCGCGUUACUGCGAGGUUGUGCGGCGCGGCUCUCUACAUUGCUGGUGGGACGAAACCCGUGGUCACCAGCGCGACGGCCUAAAGACCCCCCGCCAUCAUUCCGACAAUUCUUCACCGCCUGCCUCGCCCUUGCAGAUCUGGACUUCUCAUACUGUAAAAUGCCACCGGAUGCACUCAAGAGCCUGCUGUUAGGACUGGCAUGUAAUGAAAGCGCAGCGGGUGUUAAGCUCAAUUUAGCAGGCGUAUUAUCAUCUUCACAAGCGGCACACGUGUUAGAAUCCUGCAUACACGGCGUGCGAUGUUUACAAUCUUUGGACCUUUCCGAUAAUAGUAUGGAAUUUGAAUUAUCCGGCAUAGUGAGAGCAAUAGGAAAAAAUCAUUCAAUAACACAUUUAUCACUAAGUAAAUUGAUUGGUAAAAGGUCUUAUGCACCGCCAUUAAUACAGGCUUUGGUCCACGUUUUACAGGAACCCGACACAGCUUUGACUUCAUUAGACCUUAGUGAUUGUAAAUUAAAGAGUGAUUUGUACGGACUUCUAAACGCACUAGGCGGAGCACGCAGGUUGCGUACGUUAGACGUGGGAGGGAACUUGGCGGGCGAUGCAGGCGCGCGUUUGCUAGCCAAGGCUUUACAAUGCAAUUGCACCUUACACACACUGUAUAUAGACAGAAACGCGUUCAGUUUGCAAGGUUUGACGGAUAUAGCAACGGCGCUCAGAAGGUCAGUGAGCGUCCGGCGAGUGGAGUUUCCUGGUUGCGAUGCGGCUGCGGGCGGUCGGGGGGCAUCAGAGAGGGUUGCAACCCUUUGGAGGGAGCUACAUGAAAGGUUGGCGAGCAACAGUAGCACGGGUCAGUGCGGGCGAGUGCGCGCACUGGCGUUAGAGCGCGCGUGGGCAGGUGGGGAAACCGCAGCGGCGCUUGCGGCCCAAGCGGCUGCCGCUCUCCCCCCGCCGCCACUGCCCGCCGCCACAGAGCGCGCUGCCGCCGCUGCGCAUCACUUACUACACCAGUACUUGCAGAGGUGCAGUGAAGUGUUCGCGGCUAUGGGCGGCAGCGGCGGUGGCAGCGAACUAGUCACGCUGCAGGCCGUACGCGAUGCCAUGGCGCCGUGCAACACGACGCUGCAAGACUUACUCAAUGAAGCAGUAGAGCGGCUAGCGUUGUCUGCGUGCGAGAGCGUAGAGGCCGAUAGCGACCGCGGCCCGCUCGUCGAUCCCGAUAUGCCGGACUUGCUCUCGCCAAUAUCACAUUCAGGGGCGACGCCGCUCGGUUGUCGGCGACGCGAGCGCGGUAGACGCGUGCGACCGAAGUCCGUAGCGGAACAGCAACAGUGCAGUAGUAACGAAAUGCUCUCACUACCACCCCUACACGGCGAAGCAGCCGACGCUUUGGCUGAACUACCCGCCCAUACCUUGCGGCAUCUUGUUAAAGGUAGGCCAAGAAGAGUAAAAACGAGAGCGCCGACACGACCAGUCACAGAUCAGUCUCAAGAGAUAGACGAAGGUCUGGAUGAGUUCUGGCGAACUUGCCGUACUCCGCCAGGCAGUGAAGAGGCGUCGUCACUCUCUGCGCGCACUCCGCUCACUUCGCGCUCCCUACACUCUCUUUCCUCACUCGCCUCAGCGUCGCCCGCCUCUCCGGCUUCGCCUUCACCCGCCCGACAUUCGCCGACGCUUCGCAGGGACGAUACCAUGUAUAGCGUGACGUCGGGCGAGAGUACGCCCGUACUUUUAGAAUGCGAAGUUUCUCGAUGCAAGUCUUCCGACAACGUGGGCUUUAAAGUGGCGCCAAACACUCCGCCACCUUCUCGCUCGUCAGACAACGUUAACACCAUGGGCAACGGGUGCGUGCGCGCGGGCGGCAAGGCGCGGCCGUGGUCUGUCGCCGGCGUCAACGCGGACAACGCGGCGCUCUGCACCACAGAGGGCGUGGAGGCGUGCGUGGGCGGCAGCAUCGUGGGCAUCACCCCCGGCGCCGCACUAACCAGUAACAUUUCACACGCUAUACUUUACUGAACUACACGUCAUAUGUUAUGUGUCGUCCGCUUAUUAGGCUCAAUGAUGCGGGAUCAUCCAUUAACACCUGAGGACACAGAUGCCUAAGUUAAGCGCAAGCAAAUGUGGUUGCGCGAACGUGAUACGCUGAGCAGGGUUACACGGACUUUAUCUCCGAUGCUCACUAUUGUGCCAGUUAGACUAACCGUAGACAGUAGAUUAUCUUACCUACGCGUCUUUACCUAUUUUGAUCAGUCUCACAGAUAGUCUUCUAUUGACAAGUAGUUUUUUAUUUGACUUAGCAAUUUAUAGUCUCGAGAAUAAUUAUUAUUAUAACUUUAAAAAGUAUGACAGGAUACUCACUAAAUAUCAGUUCAACCUCUGUUAGUUCAGUCUUAAUAAAAAUAUUAUAAUGUUAUAAAAUAAUGUAGGACAGGAUUUUCAAAUCAUACAUUUUAAUUCAUUCGCUUAUAGCUCAUGACCAACGUUACCAAUCUCGUCCUCCCAUUCAUAUGUUAUCCGCUAUGGUUUAUUAACCUUUAGUUGACCGAAGCUCAUACCUACCUAAUUUUAGUCAGAGGGCCAUAUAUUAAAAAGUUGAAAAUAUAUUUUUAACACUCGACUCAAAUUAAAUGAAGUCAUAGAUUUUAUUUUAUAGAAGCAAUUACUAAAACACGUGGCGUGUGGUGUGAUUAUUGGUCUUAUGAAAUACUGUUUUGACUUUAUUCGAAUCGCGUUCUUAAAGCGAAUGAAAUGUUAAUAUGCAGUUUACUUUAAUGAAGGGUACGUUUUGACUAAGCGUAGAGAUGUGUAGGACUACACCAAUCAUAUUGUUGAAAAAUAAUGUGAUAAAAUAUUAGUUUCUUUAUCCCGCUCGUCUCUGCUUUAGUGAAACGCACACAGUCUCAAAGAGUCUAAAAAUCUAAAACUAGUUUUUAAUCUAGUAGCGACAUUCACCCAUGUACUAUACAACGCAAUUUCAUUUAUUAUCUAUUAAAUAUGAAUAGAAUUUAAUUCUGGUAAUAUUAGUUUUACUGUCAUAAUUAUUCCAAGUAGGUAAACAAAUUAGUCAGGUAUUAAAACCAUAAAUUAUAUUUUGUUUUUUUAACUGUGAUGAGUUAGUAUUAUAAAGUUCCCGUAUUGUAUGUAGUAGUAUGAAAAUAUUUAUAAGCCGAUUUAAAAUUAUAUUUUUCACUGCUAUUAUAGGUAAUGCUUCUAAUUUGUUCUCGUGUGUUCAAUUUAAUGUUAUUUAUCAUUCUUGUUGAUACUUUACUCUGCGCGUGGAGAGUUAUAGAAAUCGAUCUUUACAAUCAGUUUUUAUUUAGUGUUUACACACACUAUUAAAAGUUUUUUGGGAGCGGUUAGGGAAAGAAUAAACUUUUAUAGAUUGCUAUCGGAUUUAUUUGGAAAAAUGCAUUUUAGCUGCCUAAUAAAUUUAAUGCAUAGUUCAGUAGAGAGUACUUUCUUUAAAUUAGUAUCAUAACUUUGUGAAGAUAUUAGGAAGAUAGGUAAGAUUGAGUAAGAAGUAAAAGUAAGGAGCUAGAUUGAUUUACCAUAAUUAUUCUGCUAAUAAUAUAUCAUAUAAAAUCUUUUGAAUGAAAUAUUUUAAUGCCACUUCUAUAAAAUCGCUGCCGAAAUUACCUAACAGUUGAGUAACUGUUAGGUAAUUUCGGCAGCGAUUUUAUAGUAAACUUUUACUCCCUGACCGUUUCCUAUAAUAUUACAGCCUUUAUAAUAUCAUUCGCUUGCAAUGCUCUUGUCAGUACAGAAUUAUUACUAACCUUCGCUAUGCGAGAGUAAGGUAAAUGGAGAUAUGUGAAAGAUCGAUUACAUUCGUUAUUUAUUGGUAGAUAUAUAUAUAUAUAUAUAUAU